RNAcentral lists this small RNA (28 nucleotides) under Bombyx mori (domestic silkworm). RNAcentral describes it as "piRNA piR-bmo-1263386". Lineage: Eukaryota; Metazoa; Arthropoda; Insecta; Lepidoptera; Bombycidae. The record is from RNAcentral.
UGGAUCAGUAAUACGCUCAGCUAUAUGG